AUACGGGGGGUGCAAGCGUUAUUCGAAUUUAUUGGGCGUAAAGAGCGCGUAGGCGGCUUGGUAAGUCAGAUGUGAAAGCCCGGGGCUCAACCCCGGAAGUGCAUUUGAAACUAUCAGGCUUGAGUAUGGGAGAGGGAAGUGGAAUUCCUGGUGUAGAGGUGAAAUUCGUAGAUAUCAGGAGGAACACCGGUGGCGAAGGCGACUUCCUGGACCAAUACUGACGCUGAGGCGCGAAGGCGUGGGGAGCAAACAGGAUUAGAAACCCGAGUAGUCC
Molecule: ribosomal RNA, 274 nt
Filed under: uncultured bacterium
Lineage: Bacteria
Description: partial 16S ribosomal RNA
Rfam family: Bacterial small subunit ribosomal RNA
Source: RNAcentral